This 253-nucleotide ribosomal RNA is filed under the name uncultured bacterium. Its description in RNAcentral is "partial 16S ribosomal RNA". It matches the Rfam family "Bacterial small subunit ribosomal RNA", at positions 524 to 776 of the family's 1533-position model. The record is from RNAcentral.
GACGUAGGGCGCGAGCGUUGUCCGGAUUUAUUGGGCGUAAAGAGCUCGUAGGCGGCUUGUUACGUCGUUCGUGAAAACUUGGGGCUCAACCCCAAGCUUGCGGUCGAUACGGGCAGGCUAGAGUUCGGUAGGGGAGACUGGAAUUCCUGGUGUAGCGGUGAAAUGCGCAGAUAUCAGGAGGAACACCGGUGGCGAAGGCGGGUCUCUGGGCCGUAACUGACGCUGAGGAGCGAAAGCGUGGGGAGCGAACAGG